Molecule: ribosomal RNA, 497 nt
Filed under: uncultured bacterium
Lineage: Bacteria
Description: partial 16S ribosomal RNA
Rfam family: Bacterial small subunit ribosomal RNA
Source: RNAcentral
GAUGAACGCUGGCGGCGUGCCUAAUACAUGCAAGUCGAGCGAACGGACGAGAAGCUUGCUUCUCUGAUGUUAGCGGCGGACGGGUGAGUAACACGUGGAUAACCUACCUAUAAGACUGGGAUAACUUCGGGAAACCGGAGCUAAUACCGGAUGAUAUUUUGAACCGCAUGGUUCAAAAGUGAAAGACGGUCUUGCUGUCACUUAUAGAUGGAUCCGCGCUGCAUUAGCUAGUUGGUAAGGUAACGGCUUACCAAGGCAACGAUGCAUAGCCGACCUGAGAGGGUGAUCGGCCACACUGGAACUGAGACACGGUCCAGACGCCUACGGGAGGCAGCAGUAGGGAAUCGUACGCAAUGGGCGAAAGCCUGACGGAGCAACGCCGCGUGAGUGAUGAAGGUCUUCGGAUCGUAAAACUCUGUUAUUAGGGAAGAACAUAUGUGUAAGUAACUGUGCACAUCUUGACGGUACCUAAUCAGAAAGCCACGGCUAACUACGUG